ACAACGGAGAGUUUGAUCCUGGCUCAGAACGAACACUGGCGGCGUGGUUUAGGCAUGCAAGUCGAACGUGAAAGUUUCCUUCGGGAAAUGAGUAAAGUGGCGAACGGGUGAGUAACGCGUGGGAAACCUUCCCUUCGUUGGGGGAUAACAGUUCUAACGAGCUGCUAAUACCGCAUACGACCUUUGGAUCGCAUGGUCUGGAGGUGAAAGGGGGCGCCCUCUUCGGAGAGCUCCCGACGAUGGAUGGUCCCGCGUCCCAUUAGCUAGUUGGCGGGGUAAUGGCCCACCAAGGCGACGAUGGGUAGCCGGCCUGAGAGGGUGUCCGGCCACACUGGGACUGAGAUACGGCCCAGACUCCUACGGGAGGCAGCAGUCGAGAAGCUUCGGCAAUGGGCGAAAGCCUGACCGAGCGACGCCGCGUGAGCGAAGAAGGCCCUAUGGGUUGUAAAGCUCUGUCAGAUUGGGAAGAAAACCUCGUGAUUAAUACCUGCGAGGCUUGACGGUACCAUCAGAGGAAGCACCGGCUAACCCCGUGCCAGCAGCCGCGGUAAUACGGGGGGUGCAAGCGUUGUUCGGAUUCACUGGGUAUAAAGGGUGCGCAGGCGGCCUGUUAAGUCAGAGGUGAAAUCUGUCGGCUCAACCGACAGACUGCCCCUGAAACUGACAGGCUUGAGUCCGGGAGAGGAAGGUGGAAUUCCAGGUGUAGCGGUGAAAUGCGUAAAUAUCUGGAGGAACACCGGUGGCGAAGGCGGCCUUCUGGCCCGGAACUGACGCUCAGGCACGAAAGCUAGGGGAGCGAACGGGAUUAGAUACCCCGGUAGUCCUAGCCGUAAACGAUGGGUACUAGGUGUUGGAGGAUUCUACCCCUUCAGUGCCGCAGCUAAUGCAUUAAGUACCCCACCUGGGGAGUACGAUCGCAAGGUUGAAACUCAAAGGAAUUGACGGGGGCCCGCACAAGCGGUGGAGCAUGUGGUUUAAUUCGAUGCAACGCGAAGAACCUUACCUAGGCUUGACAUGCAGGGGACAGGUGUAGAAAUACAUCCUUCCUUCGGGACCCUUGCACAGGUGCUGCAUGGCUGUCGUCAGCUCGUGUCGUGAAAUGUUGGGUUAAGUCCCGCAACGAGCGCAACCCCUGUCUUUAGUUGCCAUCAGGUUAUGCUGGGGACUCUAGGGAGACUGCCGGUGACAAACCGGAGGAAGGUGGGGAUGACGUCAAGUCAUCAUGGCCCUUACGCCUAGGGCUACACACGUGCUACAAUGGUCGGUACAAAGGGCAGCAAUACCGUGAGGUGGAGCAAAUCCCAAAAAGCCGGCCUCAGUUCGGAUCGAAGUCUGCAACUCGACUUCGUGAAGUUGGAAUCGCUAGUAAUCGCGUAUCAGAACGACGCGGUGAAUACGUUCCCGGGGUUUGUACACACCGCCCGUCAAGUCAACCGAGUUGGCUGCACCCCAAGUCGCUGAGCUAACCCCGUAAGGGGAGGCAGGUGCCCAAGGUGUGGUUAGCGAGGGGGACUAAGUCGUAACAAGGUAGCCGUAUCGGAAGGUGCGGCUGGAUCACCUCCUUU
Molecule: ribosomal RNA, 1565 nt
Filed under: bacterium
Lineage: Bacteria
Description: bacterial SSU rRNA
Rfam family: Bacterial small subunit ribosomal RNA
Source: RNAcentral